Danionella cerebrum is the source of this 73-nucleotide non-coding RNA. NCBI's taxonomy places the organism in Eukaryota, Metazoa, Chordata, Actinopteri, Cypriniformes, Danionidae. The record is from the annotation of a GenBank genome assembly.
UUAGAGGUGGUGCAGUGGUUAGCACUGCUGCCUCCUAGUUAGUAGGUUGCUGGUUCAAGGCCAGUAGGUGAAU